UACGUAGGGUGCGAGCGUUAAUCGGAAUUACUGGGCGUAAAGCGUGCGCAGGCGGCGCCGCAAGUCGAGUGUGAAAUCCCCGAGCUUAACUUGGGAAUUGCGCUCGAAACUACGGUGCUGGAGUGUGGCAGAGGGAGGUGGAAUUCCACGUGUAGCGGUGAAAUGCGUAGAGAUCGGGAGGAACAUCAGUUGCGAAGGCGGCUCUCUGGACCAGCACUGACACUGAGGCACGAAAGCGUGGGGAGCAAACAGG
This 253-nucleotide ribosomal RNA is filed under the name uncultured bacterium. RNAcentral's name for it is "partial 16S ribosomal RNA". It matches the Rfam family "Bacterial small subunit ribosomal RNA", at positions 524 to 776 of the family's 1533-position model. The record is from RNAcentral.